This 279-nucleotide ribosomal RNA is filed under the name uncultured bacterium. Its description in RNAcentral is "partial 16S ribosomal RNA". It matches the Rfam family "Bacterial small subunit ribosomal RNA", at positions 506 to 784 of the family's 1533-position model. The record is from RNAcentral.
UGCCAGCAGCCGCGGUAAUACUGAAGGUGCAAGCGUUAAUCGGAAUCACUGGGCGUAAAGCGCUCGUAGGUGGCUUUGUAAGUCAGAUGUGAAAUCUCCGAGCUCAACUCGGAAACUGCAUUGGAUACUACCUAGCUAGAGGAUUGGAAGGGGAACUGGAAUUCUUGGUGUAGCGGUGAAAUGCGUAGAUAUCGAGAGGAACACCAGUGGCGAAGGCGAGUUCCUGGACAAUUCCUGACACUGAGGCACGAAAGCUAGGGUAGCAAACAGGAUUAGAUA